CAGGUAGUGAGAGCUUAAAACAACUUCUCAUUUGCAAAGAUAAAAUGAGACAGAGGUGCAGAAUUCUCAACUUCCUCCUCUUCUUCAUAUUCAUCGUUGUUUUCAUAAGCCCGGUGAAAAUGAAUUCAACUCAGUCUGUUUUACCUGAAAACUACAACUGUACAUACAGGUGUCAAGAAUAUUUCUUCCCUUGCAAUAGGUGGAUCAACGAGCUGAAUUGUCCGCCAGGGUCUCAAUGCUGUUCUGAUUAUUAAAAAAAGCCAAUUUAAACAACUUUUAAUUAUUUCUUAGAAAUAAUGAACGUAGCCUUUUCUGUUAAAGCGUGUCUUGCACCUAAACUUUGUAGACCAGUCAAUCGUUGCUGUUUUCCUAGAGAUGGUGACUGUCCAGCUGGAAAGGUGUGCUGCCAAAUGUGGAGGCUAACCUGAUAGCUACUACUAUUUUGUGUUUUUUAUUAUCCUAAUCACUUCAAUGGUUUUCUUACUUCUGGAAUAUUCGAUUUUUGAUUGUUAUUGCUGUAUUUCAGUUCAGUUAAAUAUAUGCUUUUAUUUAUGGUUUAAAGAAAUGUUUUUCCUUUGCAUGGUACACGAAAAUAUGACUGUGUCGA
Argiope bruennichi is the source of this 607-nucleotide long non-coding RNA. RefSeq lists it as uncharacterized. The record is from RefSeq and is a predicted model, not a curated record. The transcript is spliced from 3 exons. Lineage: Eukaryota; Metazoa; Arthropoda; Arachnida; Araneae; Araneidae.